CCUACGGGAGGCAGCAGUGGGGAAUAUUGCACAAUGGGGGAAACCCUGAUGCAGCAACGCCGCGUGAGUGAAGAAGUAUUUCGGUAUGUAAAGCUCUAUCAGCAGGGAAGAAGAAAGACGGUACCUGACUAAGAAGACCCGGCGAACUACGUGCCAGCAGCCGCGGUAAUACGCAGGGGGCCAGCGUUAUCAGGAUUUACUGGGUGUAAAGGGAGCGUAGGCGGAUGUGCAAGUCUGAAGUGAAAGCCCGUGGCUCAACCGCGGAACUGCUUUGGAAACUGUAUAGCUUGAGUACUGGAGAGGAAGGAGGAAUUCCAGGUGUAGCGGGGAAAUGCGGAGAUAUUAGGAGGAACAUCAGUGGCGAAGGCGGCCUGCUGGACAGAAACUGACGUUGAGGCGCGAAAGCGUGGGGAGCAAACAGGAUUAGAUACCCCUGUAGUC
This 441-nucleotide ribosomal RNA is filed under the name uncultured bacterium. RNAcentral's name for it is "partial 16S ribosomal RNA". It matches the Rfam family "Bacterial small subunit ribosomal RNA", at positions 338 to 795 of the family's 1533-position model. The record is from RNAcentral.